Molecule: ribosomal RNA, 1386 nt
Filed under: uncultured marine bacterium
Lineage: Bacteria
Description: bacterial SSU rRNA
Rfam family: Bacterial small subunit ribosomal RNA
Source: RNAcentral
GAGUUUGAUCCUGGCUCAGGAUGAACGCUAGCGGCAGGCCUAAUACAUGCAAGUCGAGGGGUAACAGGAAGUGCUUGCACUUCGCUGACGACCGGCGCACGGGUGAGUAACGCGUAUACAAUCUGCCUCAUACUAGAGGAUAGCCCGAAGAAAUUUGGAUUAAUACUCUAUAGUAUCAUUUAAAGACAUCUUUUUAUGAUUAAAGGUUACGGUAUGAGAUGAGUAUGCGUUCUAUUAGUUUGUAGGUGAGGUAACGGCUCACCUAGACUGCGAUAGAUAGGGGCCCUGAGAGGGGGACCCCCCACACUGGUACUGAGACACGGACCAGACUCCUACGGGAGGCAGCAGUAAGGAAUAUUGGUCAAUGGACGGAAGUCUGAACCAGCCAUGCCGCGUGCAGGAUGAAUGCCCUAUGGGUUGUAAACUGCUUUUAUAUAGGAAGAAAAACUUUCUCGUGAGAAAGCUUGACGGUACUAUAAGAAUAAGCAUCGGCUAACUCAGUGCCAGCAGCCGCGGUAAUACGGGGGAUGCAAGCGUUAUCCGGAAUCAUUGGGCGUAAAGCGCCUGUAGGUUGUUUGUUAAGUCUGUUGUUAAAGGCUAGGGCUCAACCCUAGAAAUGCGAUGGAAACUAAUAGACUAGAGUAUGGUAGGGGUAGAGGGAAUUUCUAGUGUAGCGGUGAAAUGCGUAGAUAUUAGAAAGAACACCGGUGGCGAAGGCGCUCUACUGGACCAUUACUGACACUCAGAGGCGAAAGCUAGGGGAGCAAAAGGGAUUAGAUGCCCCUGUAGUCCUAGCCGUAAACGAUGGAUACUAGAUGUUGCGCAUUACGUGCAGUAUCGUAGCUAACGCGUUAAGUAUCCCGCCUGGGGAGUACGCUCACAAGGGUGAAACUCAAAGGAAUUGACGGGGGCCCGCACAAGCGGUGGAGCAUGUGGUUUAAUUCGAUGCAACGCGAAGAACCUUACCAGGGCUUGACAUACUACAGAUCCCUUUGAAAAAAGGGAGUGCCUUCGGGAAUGUAGAUACAGGUGGUGCAUGGCUGUCGUCAGCUCGUGUCGUGAGAUGUUGGGUUAAGUCCCGCAACGAGCGCAACCCUUAUUUUUAGUUACUAAUUCGUUGGGUUCUCUAGAAAGACUGCCGGUGACAAACCGGAGGAAGGUGAGGAUGAUGUCAAGUCAGCAUGCCCCUUAUGUCCUGGGCUACACACGUGCUACAAUGGCUAAGACAAAGAGUCGCAAGCUCGCGAGAGUCAGCUAAUCUCAUAAACUUAGCCCAAGUUCAGAUUGCAGGCUGCAACUCGCCUGCAUGAAGUUGGUAUCGCUAGUAAUCGCUGGUCAGCCAUACAGCGGUGAAUCCGUUCCCGGGCCUUGUACUCACCGCCCGUC